AUUUAGGCGACGCUCCGAGUCGGAGGAGCUAAUGUCCUAUCGGGCCACGCCCUCCGACCGAUAGGGAAAAGCGGGAAACGGCUUUUCCUUCCAUUUCGAAAAGGAGAACGUCAUGAUUGCCU
RNAcentral lists this non-coding RNA (122 nucleotides) under Candidatus Aminicenantota. RNAcentral's name for it is "Candidatus Aminicenantes MoCo sequence". It matches the Rfam family "Molybdenum/Tungsten riboswitch aptamer (Moco RNA motif)". The record is from RNAcentral.